Molecule: transfer RNA, 479 nt
Filed under: Brucella intermedia
Lineage: Bacteria; Pseudomonadati; Pseudomonadota; Alphaproteobacteria; Hyphomicrobiales; Brucellaceae
Description: Ochrobactrum intermedium partial contains 16S rRNA, ITS1, tRNA-Ile, tRNA-Ala and 23S rRNA
Rfam family: tRNA (bases 62-135)
Source: RNAcentral
UGCGAAGCUUUGCUUCGGGGGUGGACUUCUGGAUCGCGUAGCAGCGUUUGCGUCGGUAUCUGGGCUUGUAGCUCAGUUGGUUAGAGCACACGCUUGAUAAGCGUGGGGUCGGAGGUUCAAGUCCUCCCAGGCCCACCAUGUUACAUGAUAAGGGGCCGUAGCUCAGCUGGGAGAGCACCUGCUUUGCAAGCAGGGGGUCGUCGGUUCGAUCCCGUCCGGCUCCACCAUCGUGUUUUGGUGUAGAGACGGAUAUUGGCAAUCAACGAAAGAAAGAAACAAGUUUGCGGACUUUUAUGAAAGUCUGCCUGUUCUGUAUGAAAUCGUGAAGAGAAGAUGUAAUCGGAUCAACUAUCCAGUUGAUGUCGCAAGAGCUUGCUCAAGCCUUGCAUUAUGAUUGAUGUGUUUAACCGCCAUCACCGAUUGUAUCUCGAGAAGCUGGUCUUUCUGCUGAUACUGUUGAAGCUUGAAUGAGUUUUGAU